GAUGAAGAACGUAGUGAAAUGCGAUAAGUAGUGUGAAUUGCAGAAUUCAGUGAAUCAUCGAAUCUUUGAACGCACAUUGCGCCCUUUGGUAUUCCUUAGGGCAUGCCUGUUCGAGCGUCAUUUAAACCUUCAAGCUCAGCUUGGUGUUGGGUGACUGUCCGCUUCACCGCGGACUCGCCUCACAAUUAUUGGCGGCCGGUACAUUGGCUUCGAGCGCAGCAGAAACGCGAACUCGGGCCCGUCGUAUUGGCUCCCAGAAGCUAUCUUCACAAUUUUGACCUCGGAUCAGGUAGGGAUACCCGCUGAACUUAAGCAUAUCAAUAAGCGGAGGA
This 332-nucleotide unclassified non-coding RNA is filed under the name soil metagenome. RNAcentral describes it as "partial contains 5.8S ribosomal RNA, internal transcribed spacer 2, and large subunit ribosomal RNA". The stretch from base 1 to 120 matches the Rfam family "5.8S ribosomal RNA", at positions 35 to 154 of the family's 154-position model. The record is from RNAcentral.